Molecule: long non-coding RNA, 721 nt
Filed under: Pongo abelii (Sumatran orangutan)
Lineage: Eukaryota; Metazoa; Chordata; Mammalia; Primates; Hominidae
Description: lincRNA
Source: RNAcentral
GGCUGCGCAACGCUGGAGUGCGAUGGGAGCGCGAGACAUGUCGGACGAGCCUAGCAGUGAUGCUGCCUGGAGUUAAAGGAGGCCAGGAGCACCAGAAGCUGGAGGAGGCCGGAGUGGAUUCUCCCCUGGAGGCUUCUGUGGGAACAUAGGCUCCUGAUACUUCGGUUCCAUCUCUUGUUUAAAGGCACCCAGCUUCUCAUCAUUUGUUACAGCACCCUGGAAAACUCACACACAAGUGAAGCCCCAACCCAUCCCCGAAGUGCCCAUCUGAGCACCCCUCGUGGAUUCUGAGCAGGGGGUCACCACCACCAACUCCACGUCUUGCAGCCCCUCUUCCCUUCAGUCUGGCUGCCACCUUCUUCAUUGCCCUGAAAAAAAAAUAAUGAAGUUUCACCAUUUAAAGGGUUUCAGUGCAGCUUGCUAUGGGAACACUGGAGAGUAACACAAAUGGCCAAUUGUCCUAAUAGCCACCAUGGAAUGGAUGGAUGCUAACAACAGGCUCGGAGUUCUCCAUCUGUUGCCUCCUUUUAUCCACAUGAGAAUCAAACAAGAUCUUCCAGGAAUCUAAAAAUGUGUGUGAGAUUUCACCUGUAAAAUCUGAGUUAUUUUGAAUCUGCAUUUUCCUGAAGAUUUUUCUUUGUGUGGUCAGCUUUGUUGGAAAAAUCCAGAAGCCUCCAUGAACUUACAACCCUGCAUGAAUAAAUGUAAUAUUUCGUUUGGA